Dreissena polymorpha is the source of this 4330-nucleotide RNA transcript. RefSeq lists it as uncharacterized. The record is from RefSeq and is a predicted model, not a curated record. The transcript has 25 exons. NCBI's taxonomy places the organism in Eukaryota, Metazoa, Mollusca, Bivalvia, Myida, Dreissenidae.
GACCCAAAAGAUAUUCACUACAUCAGUGCAGAGCAAACAGAAGUCGAGAUGCUUAAUACAAGUUUUGAGAUGAGUAAGUAAGCCCAUGUGAAUCAAACUCCAGAAAUGUGUAAAUAUGUGUAUGCUAUUGCAUAUAAAUACAAUGUACAUUGUUGCUAUGCUCGAUCUGUAUGCUUGUUAUUUGAUAUGUAUGUAUUAUUGAAAUGUUAAUUGUUAAAUUAUAUGACUGUUACAUAUUGUAUUUGUUGUGGUAUAAUUUGUAUUUAUUUGUAUGUAAAGUUCGAUGUAUCAGGUAAAUAUGUUUAUGUAUGUUUGUUAUUUAAUACAUGUAUAUUAAUAUAUUGAAUACAAUUCAACAACAAACUACUUUUUUUCGGUAUAUAAUUCUAUGAAAAACAAACACUCAACAUAUAUUUGAAUGUAUAAUGUACAUAAUAAAGCGAGAUACACAUACAUGUUCUUACAUAUGCUAAUGUGUUGCAUUAACAAAGACCAACUGGUCUGACAGGUCAAACUGUACUCAGUGACCACACCGCCUCAGUUAAGAGACCACCUCCUAGAUUCACAUUGGGUGGUCUCCGAAGACAGGUUAGAAUGUACUUUGAUUACACUAUUAAUAGAAACUAGAAAUAUUGUGUUCAAGAUUCAGUUCAGAGAUGGCCGAGCAUAAAGUUGCUCGCCAAUCAUCAAGACUAUCAAAGAGGAAAGUACGGUAAAAAUGUAGGUAAGCCUCAGCCUUUACUGAGGACUUGCCUUUGUGAUCUGUGCCAUGGCUUUGUUUUCUGUAGUAGAGUGAUUGCCUGAUCUGUUUUCUGUCUCUUGUUAGCUUGGAUGGAUCUUGUUGCUCUCUUGGUGAUGUGCAAAGACUGAUUCUUGGCUCUGUCCUGAGUCUGCUGAUGGGACUAGGCAGCUGUCAUACAGGAGUUGGAGCCAUAUUCCAGAUCUCAUGGCUGUUAGCUGAUAUUGACGCACCGGUAGAGGACCUCAGAGGGCUUUUAGCUGGUAUUGACGCACCGGUCAUACAGGAGUUGGAGCCAUAUUCCAGUUGAAAGAAUGAGACGAAGAAGCUCGAGUUACCAGGAAAGAAGUCUUCAUGUUGAUAUGUCUCAUGCUGAAAGAAGCGGCUAUAAAGCAGCAUCUACCGAGGCGGUAAAUCAGCCUUCCAAAUCUCGUCUACCGGAGCUUGAGAACACCCCAAGAAAAGCCUGUCCCGAUAAGCAAUGUAAAAGCCUGCCCCGUUGAGAAAUCUAAAAAGACACCUAGGAAAGAAUAAAUUCGCAGCAUCUGUGCCAGUGAUUGAAGCGCAGAAAAAAAGGCAGAGGUAGAGAGGCAAAAAACCAACGAGAGGGAAAUAGCAGCAUCUACCAAGGGGGUGAAUUAGCCUUCAAAAUCUCGGCUACCGGAGAUAAAGAACAACCCAAGAAAAGCCUGUCCCGAUAAGCAAUGUAAGAAGACACAUAAGGAGAUCAAAGAAUAAAUUCAGAACAACCAAGUAUCUGCAAAGAAAACAAUUCGGCAAGCACCCUAGCAGCUGCAGCCAGUAGGUCAGCAGGGGGCACACAUACAUUGACAAUAUCCAAUUGAGAAGCUUUACUGGGCAAGUCCUUCAUCUCCACUGCAACUGAAAUGAGAAUGAUAUGAGGUGAUAAUCAAAUCACUAAAGGCACUGCAGUUUUUUUGCAAGUGUGUGGUGUAAACGUGAGUCUUCAAAACCAAACAACAACCACAGUGUUUUGAAGAAAUACAUAAGUGAAAUCAACAUCAUCAUCAUUGUGCACCAACAUCGUCAUUACAACGAGAUAGAAAGAUUGCUCACAAUUAAGAAUGAUUCUUUAAACAAUAUUAUUACUCCACAGAAGGAAAUCAGCUGAAAGGAGAAAAAAAAUCUGCCCAGCAUUUCAGUAUUAGUUCCAAUAAAACAAAGUAGAUGUAAGCUAUGUACAAAAACUCAUAAGUUUCAUGUUAUUUUUCCAUGCUUUUGAGGCGUCUUCUUUUGAAGAAAAAUAUACAGUGGCUUGUCUGCAUUUCUUUUUCCUGUUCAGCAUAACUCUUUUUUUUUUCAAAUUCAAAUUAAAAUUUAAAAAUAAUUUUGAGUGGUGAAAGGUCAAGGUCAUCCUUCAAGGUCAAAGGUCAACAAAAAAAAGCGGAGCAUUAGGGGGCUUUGUGUUUCUGACAAACUCAUCUCUUGUUAAUAUUGGCAGCUAAGGAAAUGUAGCAUAGUCAUAGCUUUGUAUUAUUUUCCUCCCAUGUGAAAGAUGUGACAAGUUUAACUUAUAUCUGUGAUUUACCUCUUUGAGAAUUCUGUUGAAAACGGUAUAAACCCCUAAUAAACAAAAACAUCUGCUACUGAAUAUAAGAUAUGGUAAAAAUAAUCAGCAACUAAGGAAGUAAUGGUUUUCAUGCACCAUAGUGUGGAUGGAUCUUGUUGCUCUCUUGGUGAUGUGCAAAGACUGAUUCUUGGCUCUGUCCUGAGUCUGCUGAUGGGACUAGGCAACUGUCAUACAGGAGUUGGAGCCAUAUUCCAGAUCUCAUGGCUGUUAGCUGAUAUUGACGCACCGGUAGAGGACCUCAGAGGGCUUUUAGCUGGUAUUGACGCACCGGUCAUACAGGAGUUGGAGCCAUAUUCCAGAUCUCAUGGCUGUUAGCUGAUAUUGACGCACCGGUAGAGGACCUCAGAGGGCUUUUAGCUGGUAUUGACGCACCGGUCAUACAGGAGUUGGAGCCAUAUUCCAGAUAUUCGAGUUGCUGACCUCCCUGUCCCAGGUGGAAGGCAUCGGUAAAACAGUGUGCAAGAUGUUCGGCUUGUGCCAGGACAAAAAUGACCCCUGCUGGCUAAGAUUGGGGCAUCUUCCAAGUGGUGAAUCAGCAUUCCGCAUUGAGACUACCGGAGCUGGAGAAGGCCUCAAGAAAGGCCUGUCCCGAGAAGCAAUUAUAUCGGAUGCCAUAUCAAACCACAGAGACGACACACAACUGCAACUAAUAUCGGGUACCAUGCAUCAUCCGGCAUUCCACCCCAACAGACGACACGCCCUUGAUGACAAGGUAAACCACGACCCCUUUCCCGGCCCUCACUCUGGUCGCACACUGCGCCCCCAGGCGGACAGCAACACGACCCAGAACAGCGAUAUGGAGACUACCUCCAGUGAACUAUAGAGAUACUCAUCGAAAAACUUAAUCAGGGACUCGUGGAGCAGUUUGGGGUUUUAAGAAGACCAUUCGAGAAGUACACCAACUGUUGCCUAAUUGCAAAGAAGAAAGAAGUCUGCAAAUAAGCGGCUAUAAAGCAACAUCUACCAAAGCGGUUUCCAAAUCUCGGCUACCUAAAGUGGAGUAAACGCCCCGAAAAAAGCCUUUCCACAAAAACAAUCAUAUACAAAGGUACAGAAAAUCAGCCUUCCAAAUUUCGACAACCGGAGCUGGAGAACGCAACAAGAAAAGCCUUACCUGAUAAGAAAUCAUCUUCAGAGGCGAUGAAUAAGCAUACCGAAUGUAUGGAACCGGAGCUGGAGAACGCCCCUAGAAAGGCCUGUCCCGAGAAGCAAUCCGCAUCAACCGAUGCGGUUAAUCAGCCGUCCAAAUCUCGGCAAGGCGGUGAAUCAGCAUUCCGCAUUGAGACUACCGGAGCUGGAGAAGGCCUCAAGAAAGGCCUGUCCCGAGAAGCAAUAGGUACCAUGCAAGGAUGUCAAUAAUGAAGAUGGGAAACAAAUCAACAGCAGCAUCUUCCAAGGCGGUGAAUCAGCAUUCCGCAUUGAGACUACCGGAGCUGGAGAACGCCCCAAGAAAGGCCUGACCCGAGAAGCAAUGUAAGAAGACACCUAGGAGAUCAAAGAAUAAACAUCUUCCAAGGCGGUGAAUCAGCAUUCCGCAUUGAGACUACCGGAGCUGGAGAAGGCCUCAAGAAAGGCCUGUCCCGAGAAGCAAUCAUCUUCCGUGGCGGUAAAUAAGCCGUCCAAAUCUUGGCAAUCGAAGCUGGACAGCCCUUCAAGAAAUGCCGUACCUGAUAAAAAAUUAAAAACUCCACAAGCGACACCACCAUCAACUUCUUUUUGGAGUUUAAGCGAGGAAGACACACAAGCUCAAAUCAAUAUGAGAGGCCACGACAGGAAAAACAAAGGCUGCGGAUGUGAACAGUGUAUGUUUGCUUACUGGAGAGUAAAACAAAGGCUGCGGAUGUGAACAGUGAAAGGUCCCCUAGGGGAAAACAGCUGGCUGCAAAGAUGAUGAGAGCUGACAGUUCACUCCAGCCAGGGCAGGCAAACUCCAGCUCCACCUCUAGCUCUAGCCCGGAGCCUCUGCAGCUAACCCCAAGCCCUGAGCCCCUGCCUCCUAC